RNAcentral lists this ribosomal RNA (253 nucleotides) under uncultured bacterium. RNAcentral's name for it is "partial 16S ribosomal RNA". It matches the Rfam family "Bacterial small subunit ribosomal RNA", at positions 524 to 776 of the family's 1533-position model. The record is from RNAcentral.
UACGGAGGGGGCUAGCGUUGUUCGGAAUUACUGGGCGUAAAGCGCGCGUAGGCGGACCGGAAAGUCAGAGGUGAAAUCCCAGGGCUCAACCUUGGAACUGCCUUUGAAACUCCUGGUCUUGAGGUCGAGAGAGGUGAGUGGAAUUCCGAGUGUAGAGGUGAAAUUCGUAGAUAUUCGGAGGAACACCAGUGGCGAAGGCGGCUCACUGGCUCGAUACUGACACUGAGGUGCGAAAGCGUGGGGAGCAAACAGG